RNAcentral lists this ribosomal RNA (476 nucleotides) under uncultured bacterium. Its description in RNAcentral is "bacterial SSU rRNA". It matches the Rfam family "Bacterial small subunit ribosomal RNA", at positions 35 to 507 of the family's 1533-position model. The record is from RNAcentral.
GCUGGCGGCAGGCUUAACACAUGCAAGUCGAGCGGUAGCAGAUCUAGCUUGCUAGAUGCUGACGAGCGGCGGACGGGUGAGUAACGCGUAGGAACCUGCCCAGUAGUGGGGGAUAGCCCGGGGAAACUCGGAUUAAUACCGCAUACGCUCUACGGAGGAAAGAGGGGCUUCGGCUCUCGCUAUUGGAUGGGCCUGCGUGAGAUUAGCUAGUUGGUGAGGUAAUGGCUCACCAAGGCGGCGAUCUCUAGCUGGUCUGAGAGGAUGGUCAGCCACACUGGGACUGAGACACGGCCCAGACUCCUACGGGAGGCAGCAGUGGGGAAUAUUGCACAAUGGGCGCAAGCCUGAUGCAGCCAUGCCGCGUGUGUGAAGAAGGCUUUCGGGUUGUAAAGCACUUUCAGUGGGGAGGAAGGCCUCGUAGUUAAUAGCUGCGAGGAUUGACGUUACCCACAGAAGAAGCACCGGCUAACUCCGUG